GCAUUUGAUUCUCAGGCACACAUAUUAAAACUGAAACAACACGAAAAAAGUUCAGCACAGCCCCUGAGCAAGGAUGACUUGCAAAUUCAUGUGUCUUCUCAUGUUUUU
Molecule: small nuclear RNA, 108 nt
Organism: Ochotona princeps (American pika)
Lineage: Eukaryota; Metazoa; Chordata; Mammalia; Lagomorpha; Ochotonidae
Source: Ensembl